Molecule: long non-coding RNA, 254 nt
Organism: Homo sapiens (human)
Lineage: Eukaryota; Metazoa; Chordata; Mammalia; Primates; Hominidae
Exons: 3
Source: RefSeq, a predicted model, not a curated record
UAAAAGGGGCUGCAAACGUUCAUUCACCAAAGCAUUCUCCAGGCUCCUCACCUGACAGAGGACGCCAUCCCUGCUUCUUAAGGUGAGAAGAUUGAGGCCUGGAGGAAUCGCCUGUAAGCCCCAGAUCCCUGGCUGACUGGCAGAGGAGACAGCACUCUGGCUGCAGGGCUCUGGCCAGGUGAACAGAAGCUACAGUAAGAAGACCAACAUGAAAGCCAAAAUUUGACUUCUCGACCAUUUAAUAGAGAAUGAAA